This 253-nucleotide ribosomal RNA is filed under the name uncultured bacterium. RNAcentral's name for it is "partial 16S ribosomal RNA". It matches the Rfam family "Bacterial small subunit ribosomal RNA", at positions 524 to 776 of the family's 1533-position model. The record is from RNAcentral.
UACGGAGGAUGCGAGCGUUAUCCGGAUUUACUGGGUGUAAAGGGCGUGUAGGCGGGAAAGCAAGUCAGAUGUGAAAACCACGGGCUCAACCUGUGGCCUGCAUUUGAAACUGUUUUUCUUGAGUACUGGAGAGGCAGACGGAAUUCCUCGUGUAGCGGUGAAAUGCGUAGAUAUGAGGAGGAACACCAGUGGCGAAGGCGGUCUGCUGGACAGCAACUGACGCUGAGGCGCGAAAGCGUGGGGAGCAAACAGG